Molecule: non-coding RNA, 131 nt
Organism: Hyaena hyaena (striped hyena)
Lineage: Eukaryota; Metazoa; Chordata; Mammalia; Carnivora; Hyaenidae
Product: small Cajal body-specific RNA 4
Exons: 1
Source: RefSeq, a predicted model, not a curated record
GCUGGAGGACCAAGAAGGCGGAGUCUGGUGAAGCAAGACUCUGCUGAUACAGUCCUCCUAGAGAACGGGGUGGGCGAGAGCAGCCCUCGCUGGAGGACAUGCCGCGGGGCUGACUGCGCGACCCAACACGC